This 465-nucleotide ribosomal RNA is filed under the name Vreelandella stevensii. RNAcentral's name for it is "partial 16S ribosomal RNA". It matches the Rfam family "Bacterial small subunit ribosomal RNA", at positions 338 to 795 of the family's 1533-position model. Lineage: Bacteria; Pseudomonadati; Pseudomonadota; Gammaproteobacteria; Oceanospirillales; Halomonadaceae. The record is from RNAcentral.
CCUACGGGCGGCUGCAGUGGGGAAUAUUGGACAAUGGGGGCAACCCUGAUCCAGCCAUGCCGCGUGUGUGAAGAAGGCCCUCGGGUUGUAAAGCACUUUCAGUGAGGAAGAACGCCUGGUGGUUAAUACCCAUCAGGAAAGACAUCACUCACAGAAGAAGCACCGGCUAACUCCGUGCCAGCAGCCGCGGUAAUACGGAGGGUGCGAGCGUUAAUCGGAAUUACUGGGCGUAAAGCGCGCGUAGGUGGCUUGAUAAGCCGGUUGUGAAAGCCCCGGGCUCAACCUGGGAACGGCAUCCGGAACUGGCAAGCUAGAGUGCAGGAGAGGAAGGUAGAAUUCCCGGUGUAGCGGUGAAAGGCGUAGAGAUCGGGAGGAAUACCAGUGGCGAAGGCGGCCUUCUGGACUGACACUGACACUGGGGUGCGAAAGCGUGGGUAGCAAACAGGAUUAGAUACCCCAGUAGUC